GUGAUGUCAGGACAUUAAAAAGGGAUUUAAAAAGACCUCUAUAUGCAGAAAUGAGUGUCUAAAGAUCAGCAAAAUUCAAAGCAUGCACUUCCAGUGGGUCAUGAGGACCAAGCAACGGUAAAUGAAUGGGAUUGCAAAUGGAUCACUCUCUCCAGAAGAUCCAUUGGUGAGCAAGUGAUGCAAUGAUACAUUUCUCCAAAUUUCUUUCCAGGAACAAAUAAACUCAUCUACAUUUCGGAUGGCUUCAGGAUAUUUGCUCACCACCACAACUCGCUCAUCUCUUUCUCCAAAAAAAAAAUAAAAAAACUAAAAUGAAAAAAAUAGUCUUUUAAAUGCAGCGCUGCUGAAGAUGAGCAUAAUUCAUCACUCCUCAAACCCAUCCAAACGCUCUUAACCUCAGCUUUGCCUCUAGAGCUGGACUCCGGCCAAGCCAUGAUCAUUCCUCCGGAAUAUCCUCAGCGCACGGAAAGGACAUCAACAAUUGCCUGAUCUUGCCAGAUUAAUUUCAGCGUCACCCACAUUCAUUUAGGAUGGACUGGGACUAUAAAACAGCCGGGGACAGAUGCUGGCCGAAUGCUGCUGUUGCAUGCUGUUAUAUAGUUCAUUUACUUCAGCAGGAUAACGUGCUAACAUGCAGCCCUGUUGCUUUUAACACAUGUGGAGCGAAUGGAGGCGACCUGUGGAGGCCACUCGCUGUGAACAGCGGCGUGUGACUGCAAGCAGACAGACUCUGUUGCUGCUGUCAGGUGGAGGGUGAAUAAUGUGCUAACGACUUAAACCAGCGGAGAGCGAGUGUGAGGACGACCGGAGAGCCAGGCGAGAAUGACGUGUUUUGCAGGACCGAGGCAGCAGA
Cyprinus carpio carpio is the source of this 853-nucleotide long non-coding RNA. The record is from Ensembl. NCBI's taxonomy places the organism in Eukaryota, Metazoa, Chordata, Actinopteri, Cypriniformes, Cyprinidae.